GUGGGGAAUUUUGGACAAUGGGCGAAAGCCUGAUCCAGCCAUGCCGCGUGCAGGAUGAAGGCCUUCGGGUUGUAAACUGCUUUUGUACGGAACGAAAAGACUCCUUCUAAUAAAGGGGGUCCAUGACGGUACCGUAAGAAUAAGCACCGGCUAACUACGUGCCAGCAGCCGCUGUAAUACGUAGGGUGCAAGCGUUAAUCGGAAUUACUGGGCGUAAAGCGUGCGCAGGCGGUUAUAUAAGACAGAUGUGAAAUCCCCGGGCUCAACCUGGGAACUGCAUUUGUGACUGUAUCGCUAGAGUACGGGAGAGGGGGAUGGAAUUCCGCGUGUAGCAGUGAAAUGCGUAGAUAUGCGGAGGAACACCGAUGGCGAAGGCAAUCCCCUGGACCUGUACUGACGCUCAUGCACGAAAGCGUGGGGAGCAAACAGGAUUAGAAACCCCUGUAGUCC
This 450-nucleotide ribosomal RNA is filed under the name uncultured bacterium. RNAcentral describes it as "partial 16S ribosomal RNA". It matches the Rfam family "Bacterial small subunit ribosomal RNA", at positions 354 to 796 of the family's 1533-position model. The record is from RNAcentral.